This 500-nucleotide ribosomal RNA is filed under the name uncultured bacterium. RNAcentral describes it as "bacterial SSU rRNA". It matches the Rfam family "Bacterial small subunit ribosomal RNA", at positions 8 to 507 of the family's 1533-position model. The record is from RNAcentral.
AGAGUUUGAUCAUGGCUCAGGAUUAACGCUGGCGGUAUGCCUAACACAUGCAAGUCGAACGGAAUACUAAUUAAGAGAAUCUCACACUAGUGAGAGGUUCUCACGAGUAGUAUUUAGUGGCGGACGGGUGAGUAACACGUUGGAACCUGCCCCGAAGUGGGGAAUAACUGCUCGAAAGAGUAGCUAAUACCCCAUAGUAUCCGGUUUAUCCGGAUUAAAGAUUUAUCGCUUCGGGAGGGGCCUGCGUCUGAUUAGCUAGUUGGUGAGGUAAAAGCUCACCAAGGCGACGAUCAGUAGCUGGUUCGAGAGGAUGACCAGCCACACUGGGACUGAGAUACGGCCCAGACUCCUACGGGAGGCAGCAGUGAGGAAUCUUCCACAAUGGGCGCAAGCCUGAUGGAGCUAUACCGCGUGCAGGAAGACGCUUUUCGGAGUGUAAACUGCUUUUGUCGUCGAAGAUUAUGACUGUAGACGAAGAAUAAGGACCGGCUAACUACGUG